UGGGGAAUAUUGCACAAUGGGCGAAAGCCUGAUGCAGCAACGCCGCGUGAGUGAUGAAGGCCUUCGGGUUGUAAAGCUCUGUCUUUUGGGACGAUAAUGACGGUACCAAAGGAGGAAGCCACGGCUAACUACGUGCCAGCAGCCGCGGUAAUACGUAGGUGGCAAGCGUUGUCCGGAUUUACUGGGCGUAAAGGAUGCGUAGGCGGAUUUUUAAGUGAGAUGUGAAAUACCCGGGCUUAACUUGGGUGCUGCAUUUCAAACUGGGAAUCUAGAGUGCGGGAGAGGAGAAUGGAAUUCCUAGUGUAGCGGUGAAAUGCGUAGAGAUUAGGAAGAACACCAGUGGCGAAGGCGAUUCUCUGGACCGUAACUGACGCUGAGGCAUGAAAGCGUGGGUAGCAAACAGGAUUAGAUACCCUGGUAGUCCACGCCGUAAACGAUGAGUACUAGGUGUAGGAGGUAUCGACCCCUUCUGUGCCGCAGUUAACACAAUCAAGUACUCCGCCUGGGAAGUACGAUCGCAAGAUUAAAACUCAAAGGAAUUGACGGGGUCAUAGCUG
RNAcentral lists this ribosomal RNA (557 nucleotides) under uncultured bacterium. RNAcentral describes it as "partial 16S ribosomal RNA". It matches the Rfam family "Bacterial small subunit ribosomal RNA", at positions 355 to 932 of the family's 1533-position model. The record is from RNAcentral.